UCGGGAAUUUUGGGCAAUGGGCGAAAGCCUGACCCAGCAACGCCGCGUGAGGGAUGAAGUAUUUCGGUAUGUAAACCUCGAAAGAAUGGGAAGAAUAAAUGACGGUACCAUUUAUAAGCUCCGGCUAACUACGUGCCAGCAGCCGCGGUAAUACGUAGGGAGCAAGCGUUGUUCGGAUUUACUGGGCGUAAAGGGCGCGUAGGCGGCGCGGUAAGUCACUUGUGAAAUCUCUGAGCUUAACUCAGAACGGCCAAGUGGUACUGCUGUGCUAGAGUGCGGAAGAGGCAACCGGAAUUCUUGGUGUAGCGGUGAAAUGCGUAGAUAUCAAGAGGAACACCUGAGGCGAAGGCGGGUUGCUGGGCCGACACUGACGCUGAUGCGCGAAAGCCAGGGGAGCAAACG
RNAcentral lists this ribosomal RNA (402 nucleotides) under uncultured bacterium. RNAcentral's name for it is "bacterial SSU rRNA". It matches the Rfam family "Bacterial small subunit ribosomal RNA", at positions 355 to 774 of the family's 1533-position model. The record is from RNAcentral.